UAUACUUUCUCUCUCUCUAAGCCGCAACUAUUUAUUCAUGGAUCAGUUACCCAAGCUUCCAGCUAACCACACUCCUCUCACCCCCAUCACCUUCCUCCAUCGCGCCGCCGCUGUCUACGCCCACCGCACCUCCCUCGUUUACAACAACACCCACUUCACAUGGGACCAGACCAACAACCGCUGCACCCGUCUCGCCUCCUCCCUGGCCUCUCUCAACAUCUCCACCAAUGACGUCGUCUCCGUCCUCGCCCCCAAUGUCCCCGCCCUCUACGAGCUCCACUUUGCCGUCCCCAUGGCCGGCGCUGUCCUCAACACCAUCAACACCCGCCUCAGCGCCAACAACAUUGCCACCAUCCUCGCCCACUCGGAGGCCAAGCUCUUCUUCGUUGACUACGAGUAUGUCCGCCUAGCUGGAGACGCAAUCAACCUCCUUGUCAACAGUGGCCAUAGCUCGCCCCCUCUACUUGCUGUCAUUUACGACGUCGACACCCCGACAGGCGUCAGCCUCGGCGAGCUGGAGUACGAGGAGAUGGUCGCCGGCGGCGACCCUAAUUUCCAACCACAUCAGUUCGCUGAUGAGUGGGACCCUAUCUCACUCAACUACACCUCCGGCACCACUUCCGCCCCAAAAGGAGUAGUGUACAGCCAUCGUGGAGCUUAUCUCAGCACUGUCAGCCUGCUCCUCCAAUGGGAAGUCGCCAGCGAACCGGUGUACUUGUGGUCCCUUCCGAUGUUCCACUGCAACGGCUGGACGUUCACCUGGGGUAUGGCGGCGCGCGGCGGCACCAACGUUUGCAUCCGUGCCCCCACCGCCGUCUCCAUGUACCACGCCAUAGCCGACCAUAAAGUCACACACAUGUGCUGCGCCCCGACCGUCCUCAACAUCCUUCUUGACUGUGGCGAGCAACGGCGGCUUGCCACCCCGGUGCAGAUUCUCACCGGCGGUGCACCGCCGCCGCCGACAGUGCUCGAGCAGGUGGAAGCAAUGGGCUUCUGUGUGACCCAUGCCUACGGGCUGACGGAAGCCACCGGACCAGCCAUGGUGUGCGAGUGGCGGGCUCGUUGGGACCGCCUCCCAGCCAGGAGAAGGGCCGCGCUGAAAGCGCGGCAGGGCAUCAGCGUGCUGUCGCUCGCUGAUGCCGACGUGAAGCACCCGAGGACGCUUGACAGCGUCCCGCGGGACGGAAGGACGACUGGCGAGAUCGUCCUCCGCGGGAGUAGCAUCAUGAAAGGGUACUACAAGAAUGAGACGGAGACGGCCGAGGCCAUGAAGGGCGGGUGGUUCUGGACUGGGGAUGUUGGGGUGGUGCACCCGGACGGGUAUCUCGAGAUCAAGGACAGGAGCAAGGAUGUGAUUAUUUCUGGUGGGGAGAAUAUCAGCAGUAUUGAGGUGGAGACUGUGGUGUUGCGGCAUAAUGCAGUGGCGGAGGUGGCGGUGGUGGCGAUGCCGCACCCGUAUUGGGGGGAGUCGCCGUGUGCAUUUGUCGUGCUGAAGAAGGGCUACGGUGAGGUGAGGGAGGAGGAGAUAAUCUCGCACUGCCGCAGCGCCAUGGCUAAGUUUAUGGUGCCGAAGAGGGUCGUGUUUGUGUCGGAGAUCCCAAAAAAUCCGACCGGUAAGACGUUGAAGACAGAACUGAGAGAAGCGGCGCUGCGGCUGAAGCCAGUGGAGGGGAAGCCAGCUACAGUGCAGGUGCCUUAUCAUAACGGGAAUAGUAGCCGGUCAGAGGGCCACGAGCAAGUGAUAGCAGUUUCGCGCCUCUGAUGGACUAGUUGACAAAAGGAAGGCAACUUCAAAUUUCAUAUUUGUAUAAGACUAUAUGAACAGCGCGACAUGGUGUUCAGGGUCAACUCCUGUACUCAUGGUACUUGGGUGGACCUGAACUAAUAUUAUUUUUAUUGUUAUUAAACUUAAUUAAAUAAGUGAGUUUCUGGAUUAAAUUUAGAAAGGCAAUAUUUCCACUAUCUAUCGUGAUUUUCA
RNAcentral lists this unclassified non-coding RNA (1978 nucleotides) under Hevea brasiliensis (rubber tree). Lineage: Eukaryota; Viridiplantae; Streptophyta; Magnoliopsida; Malpighiales; Euphorbiaceae. The record is from RNAcentral.